CCCUUAGAUGUUCUGGGCCGCACGCGCGCUACACUGGUACGUUCAACAAGUUUACAACCUUGACCGAAAGGUCUGGGUAAUCUUUUGAAUGCGUACCGUGCUAGGGAUAGAUUAUUGCAAAUAUUAAUCUUGAACGAGGAAUUCCUAGUAAGCGCAAGUCAACAGCUUGCGUUGAUUACGUCCCUGCCCUUUGUACACACCGCCCGUCGCUACUACUGAUUGGAUGUUUAAGCGAGGUUCUCGAACUGCUAGCGACUUAGCUUCGGUGAGGUCGCAGUGUGGGAAGUGAACCUAGCUUUGGUGUCUAGAGGAAGUAAAAGUCGUAACA
RNAcentral lists this ribosomal RNA (328 nucleotides) under uncultured eukaryote. Its description in RNAcentral is "partial 18S ribosomal RNA". It matches the Rfam family "Eukaryotic small subunit ribosomal RNA", at positions 1470 to 1796 of the family's 1831-position model. The record is from RNAcentral.